AGUGAACGCUGGCGGUAGGCCUAACACAUGCAAGUCGAACGGCAGCACAGGAGAGCUUGCUCUCUGGGUGGCGAGUGGCGGACGGGUGAGGAAUACAUCGGAAUCUACUUUUUCGUGGGGGAUAACGUAGGGAAACUUACGCUAAUACCGCAUACGACCUACGGGUGAAAGCAGGAGAUCUUCGGACCUUGCGCGAUUGAAUGAGCCGAUGUCGGAUUAGCUAGUUGGCGGGGUAAAGGCCCACCAAGGCGACGAUCCGUAGCUGGUCUGAGAGGAUGAUCAGCCACACUGGAACGGAGACACGGUCCAGACUCCUACGGGAGGCAGCAGUGGGGAAUAUUGGACAAUGGGCGCAAGCCUGAUCCAGCCAUACCGCGUGGGUGAAGAAGGCCUUCGGGUUGUAAAGCCCUUUUGUUGGGAAAGAAAUCCAGCUGGUUAAUACCCGGUUGGGAUGACGGUACCCAAAGAAUAAGCACCGGCUAACUUCGUGCCAGCCGCCGCAGUAA
Molecule: ribosomal RNA, 506 nt
Filed under: uncultured bacterium
Lineage: Bacteria
Description: partial 16S ribosomal RNA
Rfam family: Bacterial small subunit ribosomal RNA
Source: RNAcentral